Long non-coding RNA from Papio anubis (olive baboon), 1857 nucleotides. NCBI's taxonomy places the organism in Eukaryota, Metazoa, Chordata, Mammalia, Primates, Cercopithecidae. The record is from Ensembl.
CCCAAAUUGACACAUGACCAAAACUGACUCUAUAUGUAGGUAGAAUUGGCAGUUAUUCACAAGGUGUGGAGUGAGUAGCUCUCCCAGAGCGUCUCCUUCCCAAAUCUUCCUAAACCAGCAGUCCACUUGUUUGAGAGGAUGUUGAACAUAAUAGUUAAGAGCUUAUAAUUUAGAGCCAGACUACCAAAGUUCGAAGUCAUGCUUCAGCUGCGUGACCCUGAGAGAACUACUUAACAGCUCCAUGCCUCAGUUUCUCCACCUGUGAAAUGGUGUAAACCAGUACCAAUCUCAUAGUAUUGUUACGGAUGUGAAGGAGUUAAUAUAUGUAAAGGGCCUGGCCUUUGGGAAAUGCUGCAUAGGUCUCCAAGUUCAGCACAGGAUUUUGAACAUGGAACUGUAAAAUUCAAAUACUUCAAGGAAAGUUAGAACACAAAGUUGUUAGUCAUUUGGAUCUUAGCAUAAAUGAAUUCCUUUCUCUGUUCUGAGAAUCUGUGGGAAUCAUGGGGACCUUGGGAACCUAGAAGUAGGCAUCAGAAGAACUGACACAGGGUAGGGAGGAAAGGGGAAGCAAACGUUUGCCUGACUCAAGCUUUUGCUUUUGAGCCAGCUCUGCCUCUUAGCGUAUCCAUUCCAGCUUCUGUGAACUUGCUAUUUUUAUGAUUAUUAGCUGAUUAUUAUUUUAUUAUUAACUCAUGCUAAUAUUAAUUCAGCACUGGUUGAAUAAUAAGAAAAUUAUAAGAAUGAGUUAAUGAUAUGCCAUUAUUAUUAAAUAAUUACAUUAUAUAUAUUAUAUCAUGAGAUAAUAUGCCAUUAUUAUUAACUCAUUAUUUCUUAUAAUUUUCUUGUUAUUCAACCAGUGCCAGCUUUUAUGAUGAUGAUUUACAGAGAUCCUUCUCACUCGUCUAGUUGUUUGGAGGUCCGUGGCUUCCCACUGACCUGGCUCCCAUCCUGGGCAUGUCCUCACCUCGGGUCAAGACAGUGUAUUUGCUGGAAGAGGUGCUCCCGAGUGGCGGUGCCGCAACCACAGUGCCAUAUCUUGCAUGGUUUUCGGUCUCACAUAUACUUUUUGUUUGUGCUUUCUUCUGCCUCUGGAGGGGAAUAUAAAUUGACCCCAAUCUCUUUCCCAAAUAUUUCAGUUUUUUUUUUCCUCAUGGUCCUUUGAUUUUUUUCAGAAGACAAAGAUGAAUGCCAAUCCAAUUUCAGUAGAAAAUACAAUUAUAACAUAAAUGACUACAUUGUUUGAGGAGUGUUCACUGGUAUCUCAGGGCCUGCCACAAGAGGAUGGGCAGAUGGAAUUCUGUUCCAAGCAGCAUUCCUUCCUGAGCUAGGUCUUGCCUUUGAGUCUCCUGCUUAUUGGACAACCAACACUUCCUUCUUGCUUGGGACUCAUCUCUGCAGGUUUCCUUAUCUGGACCCCUCCUGAUUCCUACCUCUGCUUGUCACUGUUAUAAGUUCAGUUACAGUGCUUCCAAAUUCAGUGUUGACAUCCUAGCCCACACUUCUUCAAAAUGUAAACUCAUUUGGAAAUAAGUCGGUUGCAAACACAAUUAAUUAAUUUAAGAUGAGGUCCUACUGGAGUAGGGUGAGCUCAUAUUUCAAUAUGGCUGGCAUCCUUACACAAGGGGGACAUUUGGACAUGGAGACAGACACACCGAGGACACCAUGCAGAGGCUGGGGUUAGACUCCCACCUUUCAAAGCUAGGAGAGGUGGCCUGGAACAGAAGCUUCCCGAGAGCCUUGAGGGGAAAUGUGGCCCUGCCAACACCUUGAUCUCAGGCUUCCAGCGCCAGAACUGUAAGACAAUAUGUUCUGUUUAGGCCACUGAAUCUGUGGUAAGUUGCUAUGGCAGCCCUAGCU